This 1071-nucleotide long non-coding RNA is filed under the name Rattus norvegicus (Norway rat). Its description in RNAcentral is "long non-coding RNA NONRATT009286". The record is from RNAcentral. Lineage: Eukaryota; Metazoa; Chordata; Mammalia; Rodentia; Muridae.
ACCAUCUAGAACUACAGUAUAAGAAAAUCAUGAGAUUUGAGACAAAGACAGGAGACUUACAUGAAGCUUUCAGGCCAACUACCUUGGAUUUCAGCCAGAAAUAGUCUGCCUCAUAAAAUGUGGAAGGGAAACAUAACACUGGAAGUCAUACUUUGACAUCUGAAUAUGAGUGACAUGGCAUAGGUGUGCCCUAUUCACAAAUUUGUAAGCACAAGCAUGUAAAUAAACACAUAUACACAGGCUUUAAAUACACACACACACACACACACACACACACACACACAAACACACAUAUACCAACCAUGACCCACAGGUGUCUGUGGAUAUACCAUUAGUAAGAAGCCCACAAUGAUUUCUGUAUGGUUUUGCAAAUAUUGAACAAGCUUCUGCUUUAUUUAUUGCAAAUGUUACUGGAUGACUUUCUAGGUAAAGUGUUCAGGGUUGGAGCUGUAUGAAAUCUGUAAUCCUAGAUCUGUCUUUAGGAAACCAAUACUGUUGCAGACUCUCCUGUGGUAUACUAAGCCUCAAAAUAACCUCUUCCUAAAAGGACCUACCAAAGUUGUACUUGGGUCUGGAGAGAAGGUUCAGUAGUUACUAACUAGCACCUGUUCUAUAGACCCCAUAUUCCAUUCCCACCACCCAUAUGGUUCAGAGCCAACAGGAAUUCAAAUGUCAUAGUACCUUACACCCCCUGCUGGCCUCUCCUGGCACUACAGAGACACAUGCAAAUGAAGCCCUGAUACACAUCAAAUAAAAUUAAGGAUUAAAGACAAAUUUUGGUUUCAUGAAAUGAAUUCUACUUCCAUUCAACAUUUUACAAAGAAUAAUGGGAUUCACUCAUUUUCAUAAUUAGCCUUUGGAGGCAGAUAUAAGAAUUUAAUUUAUGUUUUGAUAGUACAGAAUAAAGACUCUAAAUAUGUUCUCACACAAUUGCUGGAUGUGUGUAUGUGUGUGGUAUGUGUCCCUUUUUACAAAACAGAAUGUACUUUACCUAUGCUCUUUAUAUUUAUGCUGUGACUUUAAUAUUUCUAUAAGAAAUAAAUGUUUUGUAAUUAUAAUUAUGGCUCCAAG